Molecule: unclassified non-coding RNA, 261 nt
Filed under: Hevea brasiliensis (rubber tree)
Lineage: Eukaryota; Viridiplantae; Streptophyta; Magnoliopsida; Malpighiales; Euphorbiaceae
Source: RNAcentral
GUGAGAGACAAGAUGUACAAGCCGAGGCGAUUAUGCUGAGACACUGAAGAGAAAGGAGGCGUUGCUUGGGUGGGAAGGGCAUACAUCUGAAGCAGAACGCAGACGGAGACUUUAUGCGGCGUAAUUGCAAAUGCGCUGGCCGCUGCCAUUGGUGAUCUGUAGGUGAGGAUGGGUCAGUUCCGGCGGGAGAGUUUUGAGUGCCAAUGCUCGCGAGUGGGAGUUGAAGUGGUAAUUAAAAGGAGAAAUUGUCUUUCAUACUCA